AAAAAAGUAGGGAAGUGUGUGAGCCAAGAAUCAAGAAAAGCCGCUAUUGUUUUUAAGAUACCCGUACCGUAAACCGACACAGGUGGAUGAGGAGAGAAUCCUAAGGCCGGCGGAAGAAGCAUUGUUAAGGAACUCGGCAAAAUGACCCCGUAACUUCGGGAGAAGGGGUGCCAACGAGAGUUGGCCGCAGAGAAUAGGCUCAAGCAACUGUUUAGCAAAAACACAGGUCUAUGCAAAACCGUAAGGUGAGGUAUAUGGGCUGACGCCUGCCCGGUGCUGGAAGGUUAAGAGGAGAGGUUAGCGCAAGCGAAGCUUUGAAUUUAAGCCCCAGUAAACGGCGGCCGUAACUAUAACGGUCCUAAGGUAGCGAAAUUCCUUGUCGGGUAAGUUCCGACCCGCACGAAAGGCGUAAUGAUUUGAGCGCUGUCUCGACAAUGCAUCCGGUGAAAUUGAAGUACCAGUGAAGAUGCUGGUUACCCGCGCCAGGACGGAAAGACCCCAUGGAGCUUUACUCCAGUUUGGUACUGGGGUCCGGCAGUGCAUGUACAGGAUAGGUGGGAGGCUGAGAACCUGGAACGCCAGUUUCAGGGGAGCCAUUGUUGGGAUACCACCCUUGUGCUGCUGGGCUUCUAACCAGCGGCCUUUAUCAGGCCGGGGGACAAUGCCAGACGGGGAGUUUGACUGGGGCGGUCGCCUCCGAAAGGGUAUCGGAGGCGCUCAAAGGUUCCCUCAGAAUGGUCGGAAACCAUUCGAAGAGUGCAAAGGCAGAAGGGAGCUUGACUGCGACACCGACGGGUGGAGCAGGUACGAAAGUAGGACUUAGUGAUCCGGUGGUAUUAAGUGGGAAUGCCAUCGCUCAGCGGAUAAAAGCUACCCUGGGAUAACAGGCUUAUCACUCCCAAGAGUUCACAUCGACGGAGUGGUUUGGCACCUCGAUGUCGGCUCAUCGCAUCCUGGGGCUGUAGUAGGUCCCAAGGGUUGGGCUGUUCGCCCAUUAAAGCGGUACGCGAGCUGGGUUCAGAACGUCGUGAGACAGUUCGGUCCCUAUCCGGCGUGGGCGUAGGAUAUUUGAGAGGAGCUGUCCUUAGUACGAGAGGACCGGGAUGGACUGACCUCUGGUGUACCGGUUGAACCGCCAGGUUCACGGCCGGGUAGCCAAGUCGGGAAGGGAUAAACGCUGAAGGCAUCUAAGCGUGAAGCCCCCCUCAAGAUGAGAUAUCCCAUUCGAAAGAAGUAAGACCCCUUGAAGACGACGAGGUAGAUAGGGCAGAGGUGGAAGUGCCGUAAGGCAUGGAGCUGACUGUUACUAAUCGGUCGAGGGCUUGACCU
Molecule: ribosomal RNA, 1329 nt
Filed under: metagenome
Description: bacterial LSU rRNA
Rfam family: Bacterial large subunit ribosomal RNA
Source: RNAcentral